RNAcentral lists this ribosomal RNA (1608 nucleotides) under Salmonella enterica. Its description in RNAcentral is "partial 23S ribosomal RNA". It matches the Rfam family "Bacterial large subunit ribosomal RNA", at positions 1211 to 2802 of the family's 2925-position model. Lineage: Bacteria; Pseudomonadati; Pseudomonadota; Gammaproteobacteria; Enterobacterales; Enterobacteriaceae. The record is from RNAcentral.
ACUCAGGUGUUGUUGGGUAGGGGAGCGUUCUGUAAGCCUGUGAAGGUGGCCUGUGAGGGUUGCUGGAGGUAUCAGAAGUGCGAAUGCUGACAUAAGUAACGAUAAAGCGGGUGAAAAGCCCGCUCGCCGGAAGACCAAGGGUUCCUGUCCAACGUUAAUCGGGGCAGGGUGAGUCGACCCCUAAGGCGAGGCCGAAAGGCGUAGUCGAUGGGAAACGGGUUAAUAUUCCCGUACUUGGUGUUACUGCGAAGGGGGGACGGAGAAGGCUAUGUUGGCCGGGCGACGGUUGUCCCGGUUUAAGCGUAUAGGUGUGUGUUCCAGGUAAAUCCGGUUCACUUUAACACUGAGGCGUGAUGACGAGGCGCUACGGUGCUGAAGCAACAAAUGCCCUGCUUCCAGGAAAAGCCUCUAAGCAUCAGGUAACAUCAAAUCGUACCCCAAACCGACACAGGUGGUCAGGUAGAGAAUACCAAGGCGCUUGAGAGAACUCGGGUGAAGGAACUAGGCAAAAUGGUGCCGUAACUUCGGGAGAAGGCACGCUGACAUGUAGGUGAAGUGAUUUACUCACGGAGCUGAAGUCAGUCGAAGAUACCAGCUGGCUGCAACUGUUUAUUAAAAACACAGCACUGUGCAAACACGAAAGUGGACGUAUACGGUGUGACGCCUGCCCGGUGCCGGAAGGUUAAUUGAUGGGGUCAGCGCAAGCGAAGCUCCUGAUCGAAGCCCCGGUAAACGGCGGCCGUAACUAUAACGGUCCUAAGGUAGCGAAAUUCCUUGUCGGGUAAGUUCCGACCUGCACGAAUGGCGUAAUGAUGGCCAGGCUGUCUCCACCCGAGACUCAGUGAAAUUGAACUCGCUGUGAAGAUGCAGUGUACCCGCGGCAAGACGGAAAGACCCCGUGAACCUUUACUAUAGCUUGACACUGAACAUUGAGCCUUGAUGUGUAGGAUAGGUGGGAGGCUUUGAAGUGUGGACGCCAGUCUGCAUGGAGCCGACCUUGAAAUACCACCCUUUAAUGUUUGAUGUUCUAACGUGGACCCGUGAUCCGGGUUGCGGACAGUGUCUGGUGGGUAGUUUGACUGGGGCGGUCUCCUCCUAAAGAGUAACGGAGGAGCACGAAGGUUGGCUAAUCCUGGUCGGACAUCAGGAGGUUAGUGCAAUGGCAUAAGCCAGCUUGACUGCGAGCGUGACGGCGCGAGCAGGUGCGAAAGCAGGUCAUAGUGAUCCGGUGGUUCUGAAUGGAAGGGCCAUCGCUCAACGGAUAAAAGGUACUCCGGGGAUAACAGGCUGAUACCGCCCAAGAGUUCAUAUCGACGGCGGUGUUUGGCACCUCGAUGUCGGCUCAUCACAUCCUGGGGCUGAAGUAGGUCCCAAGGGUAUGGCUGUUCGCCAUUUAAAGUGGUACGCGAGCUGGGUUUAGAACGUCGUGAGACAGUUCGGUCCCUAUCUGCCGUGGGCGCUGGAGAACUGAGGGGGGCUGCUCCUAGUACGAGAGGACCGGAGUGGACGCAUCACUGGUGUUCGGGUUGUCAUGCCAAUGGCACUGCCCGGUAGCUAAAUGCGGAAGAGAUAAGUGCUGAAAGCAUCUAAGCACGAAACUUGCCCCGA